RNAcentral lists this ribosomal RNA (496 nucleotides) under uncultured bacterium. RNAcentral's name for it is "partial 16S ribosomal RNA". It matches the Rfam family "Bacterial small subunit ribosomal RNA", at positions 29 to 507 of the family's 1533-position model. The record is from RNAcentral.
AUGAACGCUGGCGGCGUGCCUAAUACAUGCAAGUCGAGCGAACGGACGAGAAGCUUGCUUCUCUGAUGUUAGCGGCGGACGGGUGAGUAACACGUGGAUAACCUACCUAUAAGACUGGGAUAACUUCGGGAAACCGGAUCUAAUACCGGAUGAUAUUUUGAACCGCAUGGUUCAAAAGUGAAAGACGGUCUUGCUGUCACUUAUAGAUGGAUCCGCGCUGCAUUAGCUAGUUGGUAAGGUAACGGCUUACCAAGGCAACGAUGCAUAGCCGACCUGAGAGGGUGAUCGGCCACACUGGAACUGAGACACGGUCCAGACUCCUACGGGAGGCAGCAGUAGGGUAUCUUCCGCAAUGGGCGAAAGCCUGACGGAGCAACGCCGCGUGAGUGAUGAAGGUCUUCGGAUCGUAAAACUCUGUUAUUAGGGAAGAACAUAUGUGUAAGUAACUGUGCACAUCUUGACGGUACCUAAUCAGAAAGCCACGGCUAACUACGUG